CCUACGGGCGGCAGCAGUGAGGAAUAUUGGUCAAUGGGCGAGAGCCUGAACCAGCCAAGUCGCGUGAGGGAGUACUGCCCUAUGGGUUGUAAACCUCUUUUGCCGGGGAGCAAGGGCGGGGACGUGUCCCGGCCCGGAGAGGACCCGGAGACAAAGCCGCGGCUAACUCCGUGCCAGCAGCCGCGGUAAUACGGAGGAUGCGAGCGUUAUCCGGAUUUAUUGGUUUUAAAGGGUGCGUAGGCGGGCUUUUAAGUCAGCGGUCAAAAUUCGGGGCUCAACCCCGGCCGGCCGUUGAAACUGGGGGCCUUGCGUGGGCGAGAAGAAGGCGGAAUGCGUGGUGUAGCGGUGAAAUGCAUAGAUAUCACGCAGAACCCCGAUUGCGCAGGCAGCCUUCCGGCGCCCUACUGACGCUGGGGCACGAAAGUGCGGGGAUCGAACAGGAUUAGAUACCCCGGUAGUC
RNAcentral lists this ribosomal RNA (460 nucleotides) under uncultured bacterium. RNAcentral's name for it is "partial 16S ribosomal RNA". It matches the Rfam family "Bacterial small subunit ribosomal RNA", at positions 338 to 795 of the family's 1533-position model. The record is from RNAcentral.